This 294-nucleotide ribosomal RNA is filed under the name uncultured bacterium. RNAcentral describes it as "partial 16S ribosomal RNA". It matches the Rfam family "Bacterial small subunit ribosomal RNA", at positions 775 to 1067 of the family's 1533-position model. The record is from RNAcentral.
GGAUUAGAUACCCUGGUAGUCCACGCCGUAAACGAUGUCAACUAGCCGUUGGGCUCAUUAAAGGGCUUAGUGGCGCAGCUAACGCGAUAAGUUGACCGCCUGGGGAGUACGCCGGCAACGGUAAAACUCAAAGGAAUUGACGGGGGCCCGCACAAGCGGUGGAGCAUGUGGUUUAAUUCGAUGCAACGCGAAGAACCUUACCAGCCCUUGACAUCCUCGGAACUUUCUAGAGAUAGAUUGGUGCCUUCGGGAACCGAGAGACAGGUGCUGCAUGGCUGUCGUCAGCUCGUGCCG